GACAGAGGGUGCAAACGUUGUUCGGAAUUACUGGGCGUAAAGCGCAUGUAGGCGGCUCGGAAAGUCGGAUGUGAAAGCCCAGGGCUCAACCCUGGAAGUGCACUCGAAACUCCCGAGCUGGAGUCCCGGAGAGGAAGGCGGAAUUCUCGGUGUAGAGGUGAAAUUCGUAGAUAUCUGGAGGAACACCGGUGGCGAAGGCGGCAUCCUGGACCAACACUGACGCUGAGUGAGCGAAAGCCAGGGGAGCAAACGGG
RNAcentral lists this ribosomal RNA (254 nucleotides) under uncultured bacterium. RNAcentral's name for it is "partial 16S ribosomal RNA". It matches the Rfam family "Bacterial small subunit ribosomal RNA", at positions 524 to 776 of the family's 1533-position model. The record is from RNAcentral.